GACGAACGCUGGCGGCGUGCCUAAUACAUGCAAGUCGAACGCUGAAGCUUGGUGCUUGCACCGAGCGGAUGAGUUGCGAACGGGUGAGUAACGCGUAGGUAACCUGCCUGGUAGCGGGGGAUAACUAUUGGAAACGAUAGCUAAUACCGCAUAAGAGUAGAUGUUGCAUGACAUUUGCUUAAAAGGUGCAAUUGCAUCACUACCAGAUGGACCUGCGUUGUAUUAGCUAGUUGGUGAGGUAACGGCUCACCAAGGCAACGAUACAUAGCCGACCUGAGAGGGUGAGCGGCCACACUGGGACUGGGACACGGCCCAGACUCCUACGGGAGGCAGCAGUAGGGGAUCUUCGGCAAUGGACGGAAGUCUGACCGAGCAACGCCGCGUGAGUGAAGAAGGUUUUCGGAUCGUAAAGCUCUGUUGUAAGAGAAGAACGAGUGUGAGAGUGGAAAGUUCACACUGUGACGGUAUCUUACCAGAAAGGGACGGCUAACUACGUG
Molecule: ribosomal RNA, 497 nt
Filed under: uncultured bacterium
Lineage: Bacteria
Description: partial 16S ribosomal RNA
Rfam family: Bacterial small subunit ribosomal RNA
Source: RNAcentral